This 497-nucleotide ribosomal RNA is filed under the name uncultured bacterium. RNAcentral describes it as "partial 16S ribosomal RNA". It matches the Rfam family "Bacterial small subunit ribosomal RNA", at positions 28 to 507 of the family's 1533-position model. The record is from RNAcentral.
GACGAACGCUGGCGGCGUGCCUAAUACAUGCAAGUAGAACGCUGAAGAGAGGAGCUUGCUCUUCUUGGAUGAGUUGCGAACGGGUGAGUAACGCGUAGGUAACCUGCCUUGUAGCGGGGGAUAACUAUUGGAAACGAUAGCUAAUACCGCAUAACAAUGGAUGACACAUGUCAUUUAUUUGAAAGGGGCAAUUGCUCCACUACAAGAUGGACCUGCGUUGUAUUAGCUAGUAGGUGAGGUAAUGGCUCACCUAGGCGACGAUACAUAGCCGACCUGAGAGGGUGAUCGGCCACACUGGGACUGAGACACGGCCCAGACUCCUACGGGAGGCAGCAGUAGGGAAUCUUCGGCAAUGGGGGCAACCCUGACCGAGCAACGCCGCGUGAGUGAAGAAGGUUUUCGGAUCGUAAAGCUCCGUUGUAAGUCAAGAACGGGUGUGAGAGUGGAAAGUUCACACUGUGACGGUAGCUUACCAGAAAGAGACGGCUAACUACGUG